UAGGGAAUCUUCCGCAAUGGACGCAAGUCUGACGGAGCAACGCCGCGUGAGUGAAGAAGGAUUUCGGUUCGUAAAACUCUGUUGUUAGAGAAGAACAGCGCAUAGAGUAACUGUUAUGCGUGUGACGGUAUCUAACCAGAAAGCCACGGCUAACUACGUGCCAGCAGCCGCGGUAAUACGUAGGUGGCAAGCGUUGUCCGGAUUUAUUGGGCGUAAAGCGAGCGCAGGCGGUCAAUUAAGUCUGAUGUGAAAGCCCCCGGCUCAACCGGGGAGGGUCAUUGGAAACUGGUUGACUUGAGUGCAGAAGAGGAGAGUGGAAUUCCAUGUGUCGCGGUGAAAUGCGUAGAUAUAUGGAGGAACACCAGUGGCGAAGGCGACUCUCUGGUCUGUAACUGACGCUGAGGCUCGAAAGCGUGGGUAGCAAACAGG
This 429-nucleotide ribosomal RNA is filed under the name Bacteroidota bacterium. Its description in RNAcentral is "Bacteroidetes bacterium partial 16S ribosomal RNA". It matches the Rfam family "Bacterial small subunit ribosomal RNA", at positions 355 to 776 of the family's 1533-position model. Lineage: Bacteria; Pseudomonadati; Bacteroidota. The record is from RNAcentral.